This 2158-nucleotide unclassified non-coding RNA is filed under the name Portunus trituberculatus (swimming crab). RNAcentral's name for it is "uncharacterized LOC123503140, transcript variant X1". Lineage: Eukaryota; Metazoa; Arthropoda; Malacostraca; Decapoda; Portunidae. The record is from RNAcentral.
AGAGAGAGAGAUGAAGAGGCGCCGUGAGAAAGUGAUCUUUUUCUCCCUCCUCCUCCUCCUCUUCCCGUUUUCUCUUCAAAGCAACCAAGACGAAAACCAAGAAUUAUGUGACCAGCAGACUCCAAUGUGCUCGCAAGAAGUGUCCCAGCUAGCCAGGUCUUCAGCAUCGGCCGUUCACCUAACACCAGUGAACGCUCGUGUGCAUUCCGGCGUCCUUGAGGGGUGUGAGGGCGCUUCAGUUACCAUGAGCUGUGUGAACCAAACUUAUUUCUACUUUAGCUACCUUUCUCCCCUCACCACUGUCACCCUUACCUGUGCCGAGGGGAAGUGGGUGCUCUCCUCACCUGCCCCUCAUUUCGUGGAGACUCACCUGUGGGAAACGCGACUUAAUGGAUGUCACGAAAGAGCACAGUGUUACCUGGAGUACUUAUUGGAGAGUGACAUGCGAGUGACGAGUGGCUGGGACGUGGAAGGAGAGUUGGUCACGAAAGAGGGGAGGGUGGAGCGACUGGAAUGGAACGAGAAAGUGGAAGAGGGUGAGACAUUAAUCCUGAAGGGCAGCGAGGGGGACGAGGUGGACAUGACCUGCUACGAGCCUAAUUCACUCCUGUGGUCCCAUAGUGAGGUGGUUUCCCGCUACACCUUCCAUUGCAACGACUAUGGCAAAUGGAAGAGGCGGAAGAACAAGUGCUAUGAAGUUUGUCAGACGCAAAAAGGGGAAGUGUGCCGUUUUCCCUUCCUUUACGGGGGUGUGGAGUACGACAGAUGCUUGGAGGUGGAUGGGCAGGAGUUUCCCAUGUGUGGAGUGGCAUACUAUGUGCAGAACUCCUCGGAACUCCACCUUUGUAAUAUGAAUUCUGACAACAGUAAAUGCAACCAAAAUUCACAUGAGAAAUUAGUGUGUGGAGGUGAGUGUAUAUUAAUUUUCUUCUUCUCUUUUAUAUUCUCUUCCUCUGUUUCUCUUCCUUCUCUUCCUUUCCUCUUUCAGUCGUAACUAUUCUGGCUUCCUCUCUUCUCUCUCUCUUAUCUCUCUGAAUCUAUCCAAUUUUAUUUUCUAUCUACCUGCUAUCUACUUAUUCAUCUACCUGUCCACUUGUGUGUCUAUCUACUCUAUUUAUCAAUCUGUCUAUGUACUCUUUAUCUAUCAAUCUCUCUGUUCUUCUAUCUACUUAAUUCAUCUAUCUAUUAUUUCAUCUAUUUAUCUAUCUAUCUACUUAUUUUUUUUAUUCCUCUAUCUUUUUAUCGAUUCCUCUACCUCACUACAUGUUCAUCUAUCUCCCUAUCUACCUAUCUAAUCCAUCUUCUUCAGGAGGGCCAGACUGCCUAUAAGGUCCUUCUCUAUCUAUUUAUAUCUCUAUUCCUUAUCUCUUAAACAAUUCCUCUUUCUCUCUACUUGCUUAUAUAUUUACCUGUCCAUCUAUCUAUCUGUCUAUCUAUUUAUUUAUCGAUCUAUCUAUCUUUGUCUUCAGAAUGGCCAGAGUGCCUAUAUGAACAUUCUCUAUCUAUCUGUCUGUCUCUUUAUUCCUCUAUUUCUUUACCAAUCCAUCUACAUCUCUACUACCUUAUCUAUCUCCCUCUCUAUCUCUCCAUCUAGCCUCUCUUUGCCUUCAGGAGGGCCGGAGUGCAUUGCCUCCUUGAACCUUCACGGAGAUGCACGCCUUACCUACAGCCUGGCCACUGCACCAAGGGAGGAGGUGGAAGUUUACCCUAGCUAUAUCUCGUCUGACUUACAGGGUUGUCACGGGGAAAGCUUCUCUCUCACCUGUCCCGAGGGUCACGAGGUGUGGGUGUAUGUCGGGGCAAGUGGGUAUAUCUUCCACCACCACGAGCUUUUCACACAGUGCCUCUUGUCUGAAUCUCAUCUUUAUUUCCUAUACGAGGACGAUUACAUUAGUUAUAUCUUCUAUACUGACAGCGUUUAUGAUAUUCACUGCUCUGCUCCUGUUAGUGAUGCUUCUACUACUACUACUACUACUUCUGCUGCUACUACUACUACUACUACUACUACUGGUGUUACUUUCUUUACCGCUAAUGUUUCUGUUUUUAAUGAUACUACUACUUCUACUGCUGCUACUACUACUACUGAUGUUGCUAAUACUACUACUACUACUGCUGCUGCUAAUGUCACUACUACUACUACUACUGUUGCUAAUGAUUC